CCUACGGGGGGCUGCAGUCGAGAAUCUUCGGCAAUGGGCGCAAGCCUGACCGAGCGAUGCCGCGUGCGGGAUGAAGGCCUUCGGGUUGUAAACCGCUGUCAGAGGGGAUGAAAUACGUCGGGGGUUCUCCCCCGGGUUUGACAUAUCCUCAGAGGAAGGACGGGCUAAGUUCGUGCCAGCAGCCGCGGUAAGACGAACCGUCCAAACGUUGUUCGGAAUUACUGGGCUUAAAGGGUGUGUAGGCGGCCGGGAAAUACCUCGGCUCAACCGAGGAACAGCGCUCAAAACUGUCAGGCUUGAGGGAGAUAGAGGUGAGCGGAACUUAAGGUGGAGCGGUGAAAUGCGUUGAUAUCUUAAGGAACACCCGUGGCGAAAGCGGCUCACUGGAUCUCUUCUGACGCUCAUGCACGAAAGCUAGGGGAGCAAACGGGAUUAGAUACCCUAGUAGUC
RNAcentral lists this ribosomal RNA (450 nucleotides) under uncultured bacterium. RNAcentral describes it as "partial 16S ribosomal RNA". It matches the Rfam family "Bacterial small subunit ribosomal RNA", at positions 338 to 795 of the family's 1533-position model. The record is from RNAcentral.